AUUGAACGCUGGCGGAAUGCUUUACACAUGCAAGUCGAACGGUAGAGGGGGCAACCCCUCGAGAGUGGCGAACGGGUGAGUAAUGUAUCGGAACGUGCCCAGUCGUGGGGGAUAACGUAGUGAAAAUUACGCUAAUACCGCAUACGAUCUAUGGAUGAAAGCGGGGGAUCGCAAGACCUCGCGCGAUUGGAGCGGCCGAUGGCAGAUUAGGUAGUUGGUGGGGUAAAGGCCUACCAAGCCUGCGAUCUGUAGCUGGUCUGAGAGGCCGACCAGCCACACGGGGACUGAGACACGGCCCAGACUCCUACGGGAGGCAGCAGUGGGGAAUUGUGGACAAUGGGCGAAAGCCUGAUCCAGCCAUACCGCGUGUGGGAAGAAGGCCUUCGGGUUGUAAACCACUUUUGUCAGGGAAGAAAUGCUCUGGGCUAAUACCCUGGGGAGAUGACGGUACCUGAAGAAUAAGCACCGGCUAACUACGUGCCAGCCGCCGCAGUAA
RNAcentral lists this ribosomal RNA (496 nucleotides) under uncultured bacterium. RNAcentral describes it as "partial 16S ribosomal RNA". It matches the Rfam family "Bacterial small subunit ribosomal RNA", at positions 29 to 523 of the family's 1533-position model. The record is from RNAcentral.